Molecule: long non-coding RNA, 190 nt
Organism: Erigeron canadensis
Lineage: Eukaryota; Viridiplantae; Streptophyta; Magnoliopsida; Asterales; Asteraceae
Exons: 3
Source: RefSeq, a predicted model, not a curated record
GUAUUAUCAAGGAGUGGUGAAAUUCUUUGACUCUACAAGCCAGAAGCACAAGUUAUUGUAUGACGACGGUGAUGAAGAACUCUUGGAUCUCGAGCGGGAACAGUGGGAGUUGGUUGAAAACGCGUCUCCUAUCUCAAAUUUUGAACUCACAAGAAAGGUUUCACCACAGCACCAUGACGUAAUCUGUGUC